UCUUUUAUUUAGCUUUUAGAGAGGUUUAUUUUUGUUGGGUAUAGGGUCUGAAUUUUUGGGGUUAGAUAGUAUCAGCUUGGAUUUCUUCCCCGAACACAAUUAUGGAAUUUUCGCAAUGAUUUUAGAAAUCGAAAUUCUCGCCAGAUUUUGUCCUUUUUUGUUAGUGUUCAUGGAAACACUCAUUUUUUUCUUAACCCUCUCGAAUACAAGGAUUUUCCUGGCACCAUCGUUUCUUUCUCCCUAUUACUUGCAAAGUUGAUCCUCCUCCAAUAUUUGGGAAAUCUAAUUUUGUUGUGACGCUUUCAAUAGGUAAAUUAACAUCGUCUUCAUUGGACCAACCAUAUAUUCACCCAUGGACACGAUGUUACAACUAAUUGGAUCUAAAAUUUAGCCGACGCUCAUGUUUGUUCAGUUGAUGCUAACAUCCAUUAGUUGGCGACCACUGAUAACUUUUUAUAUUUUUCCAUUUUAGUAAUUACAGUAACAAAUUUAGGUAGGUCUCUUCCAUUGUUGGUUCUCACUGUGCUUUCAUAAUGUCUAAACUAUACAAAAUCUGGCCCCUUGGGAACUUUGGCUUUGAUGUCGACCAUUUAAAAAUAUGGUGCUUGUGAUACAGAGGCGCUGCCUGCAGCUGUUAUAAGAAGGUGCAAUUUCCCAAGCAUGUCAUCUCUUUAAACCAUGAAAUAGAACUCUACCCUGUAUUCUAAAGCAGAGUUUAACCUUAUUGUGUCAUCCGAUUAUUGCGACCUCUCAAUUAAUGAACACGAUAUUGUCUGCCUUGAAGGGGAAUGUCCAGAGGAUGCAUUGAUGCAUUCUGGGAUGAAAAUUGUGAUUGAAGAUUGCCCUUUGCAGCAGACAUCCUUCUCAUAUGGUCUAAUCAGGUGCCUCAAAAAAAGCUUAUAUAUUGGUCCUUCGGAACAUAUGAGUGAUGUUAGCAACUCGAAUCAGUAGCCUGCAGAAGGAAAGCCUCUGAAGACCAGAUGUGUAGAUAAAGCCAAAGAAACACUAAUUGGUUACCUUCCUUCUGCAUCAGAGAGAAGCUUUGAGGAAUACUAUAUGAAUACAUAUGCUCCCGAUGACAGAAUAUAUAACACUAAAUUAAAGACAUACUGAUGGGCAGAUAAGGACUGAGGACCAAAGUCUAUUACUACUGGGAGGAGGUCACAUAUGUUAAAUGUAUCAGCAAAAGUAAUGUACAUCUGAGGAUAGUUGUGCUUUUUCCUGGAUAUUUUUUUUGAUGUCAACGUUCAAUGUGUUUGAAUGUACGGAGUGUAAAAAUUGAUCUCUCUUUGGCACAGUAGUACAUAUUUUGGUGUUUCAGAAAUCACAGCUAUUUUCUUGUGUAAUUUAUUGAUGUCUAUGGCAAUUUUAUUUGGUAAAACUAAACUGUAACAAUGUAUUUCAUGAAUCAAUAUGUCGGGCAGGCCCGUGCGCAUCACG
Lycium ferocissimum is the source of this 1440-nucleotide long non-coding RNA. RefSeq lists it as uncharacterized. NCBI's taxonomy places the organism in Eukaryota, Viridiplantae, Streptophyta, Magnoliopsida, Solanales, Solanaceae. The record is from RefSeq and is a predicted model, not a curated record. The transcript has 3 exons.